This 194-nucleotide ribosomal RNA is filed under the name uncultured bacterium. Its description in RNAcentral is "partial 16S ribosomal RNA". It matches the Rfam family "Bacterial small subunit ribosomal RNA", at positions 1307 to 1500 of the family's 1533-position model. The record is from RNAcentral.
GCAACUCGACUGCAUGAAGCUGGAAUCGCUAGUAAUCGCGAAUCAGAAUGUCGCGGUGAAUACGUUCCCGGGCCUUGUACACACCGCCCGUCACACCAUGGGAGUUGGAAGCACCCGAAGUCGGUGACCUGACCGAAAGGGAGGAGCCGCCGAAGGUGAAGCCAGCGACUGGGGUGAAGUCGUAACAAGGUAAC